CUACGGGGCGCAGCAGUGAGGAAUUUUGCGCAAUGGGGGAAACCCUGACGCAGCAACGCCGCGUGAGUGAAGAAGGCCCUUGGGUCGUAAAGCUCUGUCAAUGGGGAAGAAGUUAUUAUGUGUUAAUAGCACAUUUUAUUGACGGUACCCAUGAAGGAAGCACCGGCUAACUCCGUGCCAGCAGCCGCGGUAAUACGGGGGGUGCAAGCGUUAUUCGGAAUUAUUGGGCGUAAAGGGCACGCAGGCGGUCCUGUCAGUCAGAUGUGAAAGCCCGGGGCUCAACCCCGGACGUGCAUUGAAACAGCAGGACUAGAGUACGGGAGAGGAAAGGGGAAUUCCUGGUGUAGAGGUGAAAUUCGUAGAUAUCAGGAGGAACACCGGUGGCGAAGGCGCCUUUCUGGACCGAUACUGACGCUGAGGUGCGAAGGCGUGGGUAGCGAACGGGAUUAGAUACCCUUGUAGUC
RNAcentral lists this ribosomal RNA (464 nucleotides) under uncultured bacterium. Its description in RNAcentral is "partial 16S ribosomal RNA". It matches the Rfam family "Bacterial small subunit ribosomal RNA", at positions 339 to 795 of the family's 1533-position model. The record is from RNAcentral.